AUAGAAGACAAUUAAAAAAUUGGAUCAUGUGAAUCCACCUGGCUGUUCUAGAGGAAAAACAGGCACUGAGGACCAUUGAAGAUUUUUUAAGAAGAAAUGACCUGACCAGAGCUAGCAUAAACUGGCGGCUGAGAGCCUAGAAAGAGAAACCAGCCAGGAGCCAAUGAGGCCUGAAAGAGUAGAGCAGGAAACAAAAUGUAAAGAAGGAAUCGUAUUUGUAAAACAUAGAAGUAGAAUCAGAAGAACUCAGUACUGCUCAAAUGUUGAGAGUAUGGAAGAGAGAAAAGUCUGAAAAAGGAGAUGAUGAGUCAAAGGUUUGAAACUUCUACCAACAGGUUCUUCAUCGUUGGAGUCUGAUAUCGUUUGAAUGUUUGUUCCCUCCAAAUCUUAGGUUGAAAUAUAAUCCUCAGACCAGGCAUGGCGGCUCACACCUGUAAUCCCAGCACUUUGGGAGACCGAGGCAGGAGGAUUGCUUGAAGCCAAAAGAGUUCAAGACCAGCCUGGGCAACAUAGCAAGACCCACCUCUAUUAAAAAAAAAAAUUAAAAUAUUAGCCAGGUGCGGUGGCCUGUGCCUGUAGUCUCAGCUUCUUGGGAGGCUGAGGAGGGAGAAUCACUUAAGCCCAGGAGUUCAAGGCUGCAGUUGAGGUAUGAUCCCACCACUGCACUCCAGCCUGGGCAACAGAGUGAGACACUUGUCUCAAAAAAGUAAGAGAAAUUGAAUCUCCAAAGUUGGAAGUGAGGCCUGGUGGGAGGUGUUUGGGUCAUGGGGGUGGAUCCCUCAUGAACGGCUAGGCUCCUUCUUCCUGGUAAUGAGUGAGUCCUCGCUCUGAAUUCAUGCAAGCUCUGGUUGUUUAAAGAGCCUGGCACCUCCUCCUUCUCUCUCUUGCUCCCUCUUGCUAUGUGACAUGCCUGCUCCCACUUUACCUUCCUCCAUGAGUAAAAGCUCCCUGAGGCCUCACCAGAAGCCGAGCAGAUGCUAGCACCAUGCUACUUGUACAUCCUGCAGAAUCGGAGCCAAUUAAACCUCUUUUUCUUUAUAAAUCACUCGGUUUCAGAUACUUCUUUAUAGCAAUGCAAAACUAGCAGAGUCCAAUAGCUUAAUCCACCAAAAGAAAAUUUAACAGAGAAGCAAACACCACCAAAUAUAAAUCACUUGAGAGACUUUAUACUUUGUUUUUUUUGUUUGUUUUUUUGGUUUUUUGAGAUGGAGUCUUGCUCUGUCGCCCAGGCUGGAGUGCAAUGGCCCGAUCUCGGUACACUGCAACCUCUAUCUCCUGGGUUCAAGCUAUUCUCCUGCCGCAGCCUCCUGAAUAGCUGGAUUACAGGCACCCGCCACCACGACCAGCUAAUUUUUGUAUUUUUAGUAGAGACAGGGUUUCGCCACUUUGGUCAGGCUGGUCUCAAACUCUGACCUCAGGUGAUCCACCCGCCUUGGCCUCCCAAAGUGCUGGGAUUACAGGCGUGAGCCACAG
Molecule: long non-coding RNA, 1473 nt
Filed under: Homo sapiens (human)
Lineage: Eukaryota; Metazoa; Chordata; Mammalia; Primates; Hominidae
Description: HSALNT0232900
Source: RNAcentral